Molecule: transfer RNA, 76 nt
Filed under: Rhodospirillaceae bacterium
Lineage: Bacteria; Pseudomonadati; Pseudomonadota; Alphaproteobacteria; Rhodospirillales; Rhodospirillaceae
Description: tRNA-Lys
Rfam family: tRNA
About the family: Transfer RNA (tRNA) molecules are approximately 80 nucleotides in length. Their secondary structure includes four short double-helical elements and three loops (D, anti-codon, and T loops). Further hydrogen bonds mediate the characteristic L-shaped molecular structure. tRNAs have two regions of fundamental functional importance: the anti-codon, which is responsible for specific mRNA codon recognition, and the 3' end, to which the tRNAs corresponding amino acid is attached (by aminoacyl-tRNA synthetases). tRNAs cope with the degeneracy of the genetic code in two manners: having more than one tRNA (with a specific anti-codon) for a particular amino acid; and 'wobble' base-pairing, i.e. permitting non-standard base-pairing at the 3rd anti-codon position.
Source: RNAcentral
GGGCGAUUAGCUCAGUUGGCAGAGCAGCUGACUCUUAAUCAGCGGGCCCGGGGUUCGAGCCCCCGAUCGCCCACCA